GAAGAGGAAGAGGAAGAGGAAGAUUGUUCUUGAUCAUCAGGCUGCAAGCUUGUAGAAUUGGCAAGGUGUUUUUCUGAUAUGGGUGAUGAAUUUGGGUGAGAAGAUAUGAAAUUGGACCAGAUGAUGAGAAGAAAGAGGGAGAGGAAGAAGAAACAGAGGAGGAUGAGCUUGAUGUUAGUGGGAGAUUGAGUUUUAGACCUCAUAGCUGUGAAUAUGUUUGAUGAAUUUCCCAAGAGAGAGAGUGGCAGCUAGCCAUGAAAUCUGUUUCAGAAAGCUUGAAGUUUGGUCUUGUUCCUCAAAGAAAGAAAGGUGGUGGGGGCCUUGGAAGGAGAGGAGACAAAGACAUUAAUAAAUUUCGUUUUCUUAGAAGAAAGUGAUAGAAUGGGAUGGUAAACUGAG
Molecule: unclassified non-coding RNA, 399 nt
Filed under: Hevea brasiliensis (rubber tree)
Lineage: Eukaryota; Viridiplantae; Streptophyta; Magnoliopsida; Malpighiales; Euphorbiaceae
Source: RNAcentral